RNAcentral lists this ribozyme (112 nucleotides) under Aedes aegypti (yellow fever mosquito). RNAcentral describes it as "drz-agam-1 ribozyme". It matches the Rfam family "drz-agam-1 ribozyme". The record is from Rfam by way of RNAcentral. Lineage: Eukaryota; Metazoa; Arthropoda; Insecta; Diptera; Culicidae.
UGUCCCGCAACUCCUAUCCCUACCUCCUCGUGGUACUGGCCGGAGAACGAGUAACCUUAGGGCAGAUCGGGCAACCCCGGAGGGAACUCUGGUCGUAUGCUGACAGGGAAUU